RNAcentral lists this long non-coding RNA (254 nucleotides) under Elaeis guineensis (African oil palm). Its description in RNAcentral is "long non-coding RNA (EGUI_LNC021540)". Lineage: Eukaryota; Viridiplantae; Streptophyta; Magnoliopsida; Arecales; Arecaceae. The record is from RNAcentral.
GGAUAACAGUUGAGAGUCCAGCCCAUGCAACAACUAACUCUGCAUAUAAAAUAGGUGAAAUAUGCAAGAUCUUGUCUUACACACAAAUUAACCUCCAAUUAUGAUCUCUAAGUAUGAAUCCUGCAGCUGCUGCAUCAUGAGAUACAAAUCCAUCAAAAUUAAGCUUAAUAACACCUAGGGGAGCUAGGGGGCAGCCAAGCAACAUACGGUGAUGAAAAGUUAAUUAGAUGAUGUAGGCAAGCGAGCACCACCCC